Molecule: long non-coding RNA, 332 nt
Organism: Eurytemora carolleeae
Lineage: Eukaryota; Metazoa; Arthropoda; Copepoda; Calanoida; Temoridae
Exons: 2
Source: RefSeq, a predicted model, not a curated record
AAUUUGAUUUUACAAUUUAUUUUCAGGUUGACAGGAUGGAUAAUGCGGCAAAUAAAUCAUAUGGCGCAUUUCCGGAACGUCUCUACGCCAUAUUGGAUGGUGAAGUAGUUUUUGCGGGAGGUAUCGGUCCGUUUCAAUACAGCCUGGAGGAACUGGACACAUUUCUGGAAAUAAAACUGGGCAAAGAGAAAAUGAAAUGUCGAUGAAAAUGUUUAAACAUGAUAAAUAUGGAGCAAUGAAGGAUCAGUUGAAAAUCUACGGACAAACUAAUCUGAAUGAUAAUCUCAUAUUAAUUUAAGGGUUAAACUGAAAUAAAUUGAAACUCGAGUAAA